AGCCUGAACGCUGGCGGCGUGGCUAAGACAUGCAAGUCGCACGGUGUAGCAAUACACAGUAGCGAACGGGUGAGUAAUGAAUCGCUAAUGUACCCCGGACUCUGGGAUAGCUACCCGAAAGGGUAGGUAAUACCAGAUGAGACCACGAUCAGGCAUCUGAUUGUGCUCAAAGGUCCGCCGGUCUGGGAGCAGGCGAUUUCGUAUCAGCUUGUUGGUGAGGUAACGGCUCACCAAGGCGACGACGCGUAGCCGGACUGAGAGGUUGGCCGGCCACAUUGGGACUGAGACACUGCCCAGACUCCUACGGGGGGCUGCAGUAACGAAUCUUCCGCAAUGCACGAGAGUGUGACGGAGCGACGCCGCGUGUAGGACGAAGCCCUUCGGGUGUAAACGUCUGUCAGGGUUAGAAAGUUCUGAUCAACCCCAGAGGAAGGCACGGCUAACUCUGUCGCCAACGAGCCGC
Molecule: ribosomal RNA, 463 nt
Filed under: uncultured soil bacterium
Lineage: Bacteria
Description: bacterial SSU rRNA
Rfam family: Bacterial small subunit ribosomal RNA
Source: RNAcentral